AGAUUGAACGCUGGCGGCAUGCCUAACACAUGCAAGUCGAACGGGUUCAGUUCCUUCGGGGACUGAGCUAGUGGCGGACGGGUGAGUAAUGCGUAGGAAUCUACCCACGAGUGGGGGAUAGCCCGGAGAAAUCCGGAUUAAUACCGCAUAUGCCCUACGGGGUAAAGCGGGGGACCGAAAGGCCUCGCGCAGCAGGAUGAGCCGAUGUCCGAUUAGCUGGUUGGUGGGGUAAAGGCCUACCAAGGCGACGAUCGGUAGCUGGUCUGAGAGGAUGAUCAGCCACACUGGGACUGAGACACGGCCCAGACUCCUACGGGAGGCAGC
RNAcentral lists this ribosomal RNA (324 nucleotides) under uncultured prokaryote. RNAcentral describes it as "bacterial SSU rRNA". It matches the Rfam family "Bacterial small subunit ribosomal RNA", at positions 26 to 352 of the family's 1533-position model. The record is from RNAcentral.